CUCAGUUCUGAUUUCCUAAGUGUUCUCGUGUCUUUCUGCAGACAGUUCUUGUACCUGAGCCUGCAGGACAUCCUGAACUUCCACGUGGAUAAAGAUAAGGAGCAAUUGUCCUUCUACAAGGACUAUUACCGGGGCGAUAUUGUCAGAAGUUUCCAGGAGCAACUCAGUGAGAAGCAGAGUGAAGGUGAAGGAGGGCCCAGGGAGAGCCAGGACCCCCAAGAUGCUGCUGGGAAAGACCUAGGGAAAUACCUGAUACUAUUGCUGUUGCAAGUGAUGACCAUGUGUGAGAUACUGGUGUGUGCAGACCCUGGGUCUAGAGAGCUGACACCAUGAUCUCCUGAAAGACAUCACAACUACUGCUCUCCAUACUUCCCAUUGAGUCUCUAACCCAGACUGAUCAUGGGGAAAAUGUAAAUAUGGCCACCUGUGCACACACUCUCUCUCUACUUUUGAGAUGGGGGUCUAAUUUUGGAACUCACUAUAUAGCUUAGGCUAGCCUCAAAUUCAUGGCAGUUCUCCUGCCUCCAAGUGCUGGGAUUACAAGCUUGAACCACCACACCUGGCUUGUCUCUUUCUUAACCUUCCAACAGGGGAUGGGGAAAUGGCUCAGAGAAUAAAAGCACUUGCCUUGCAAACACAAGGACUGGCUUUUGGAUACCCAUCACUUACAUAAAAGCCAGGCUUGUGACACACACACACACACACACCCAAACAAACAAACAAACAAACAAACAAACAG
Molecule: long non-coding RNA, 739 nt
Filed under: Cricetulus griseus (Chinese hamster)
Lineage: Eukaryota; Metazoa; Chordata; Mammalia; Rodentia; Cricetidae
Description: lncRNA (ENSCGRG00015023975.2)
Source: RNAcentral